UCUGAAAAUUCACUUCAGAUUCAAAUGCAACGGUCUCUCUUUCUCUCUCUCUGUGGCUGAAGAAAAUAUCAGAUCUCCUCAAGCUUUUUAGGUUUAGAGAAUUUGAAGGAAUCAAAGAAAGGAGAAUCGCAAUGGUGACUGCGAAGGGGAAAUUCGCUGCCGGUUUGAACCGUGUUGGCGAUGAUAGUCGCGCUUCCA
Long non-coding RNA from Quercus lobata, 198 nucleotides. RefSeq lists it as uncharacterized. NCBI's taxonomy places the organism in Eukaryota, Viridiplantae, Streptophyta, Magnoliopsida, Fagales, Fagaceae. The transcript is spliced from 3 exons. The record is from RefSeq and is a predicted model, not a curated record.